This 253-nucleotide ribosomal RNA is filed under the name uncultured bacterium. RNAcentral's name for it is "partial 16S ribosomal RNA". It matches the Rfam family "Bacterial small subunit ribosomal RNA", at positions 524 to 776 of the family's 1533-position model. The record is from RNAcentral.
UACGUAGGCAGCAAGCGUUGUUCGGAGUUACUGGGCGUAAAGGGUGUGUAGGCGGUUCUCUAAGUCUGGUGUGAAAUCUCCCGGCUCAACUGGGAGGGUGCGCCGGAAACUGGGGAGCUAGAGUACUGGAUGGGAGAGUGGAAUUCCUGGUGUAGCGGUGAAAUGCGUAGAUAUCAGGAGGAACACCGGUGGCGAAGGCGGUUCUCUGGGCAUUACCUGACGCUCAGGCACGAAAGCGUGGGGAGCAAAAGGG